Long non-coding RNA from Gallus gallus (chicken), 606 nucleotides. The record is from Ensembl. Lineage: Eukaryota; Metazoa; Chordata; Aves; Galliformes; Phasianidae.
CUAUUCUAAAUGCUGUUCUUAAUCACUAGGUUAAUGCCUGUGGCCACUGAAUAGAACAACAUGCACCUCACAGCUGCACCAAAAAGCUGGCUAACCUGGUCAAAUGCUCAAGCAGAUGAAGGGAACGCUGAGUAGAUGUUUUCAGAGAAAUAUUCAUCAGAACCCAAAGAUCUCUUUUGUGAGUACAGAAUCAGCUUAUAGUCCACCAUUGUAUAUGUAAUUUUUUUCCCCAUGUGCACAACUUUCCAUUUAACUAUGUCACAUUUUAUCUGUCGUUUUCUUAUCCAGGCACUCAGUCUUGUAAAGUCUUUCUAUAGCUCUUCAGUUCUUCACAGCCAUUUUAACUUCAUCACAAUUUGUCCUCUAACUUUCCUUUACCUGAAUAGCUUAAUAUCAUUAGCAAUCUGUGAUACCUCACUGCUCGCUCUCUUUUUCCAGAUCAUUUAUGAAUACAUUAAGCAGCACAAGUCACAGCACAGGUCCCUGCAGACUCCUCUUGUGAUCUUCCUCUUCUAUGAAAACCAACCUUUAUUUCUGUUUUAAUUCUGCUUCCUGUCUUCUAGCCAUUUUUUGAUCCAUUCCCUUUUCUUCUUAUUGCAUAAAGGC